Molecule: unclassified non-coding RNA, 401 nt
Filed under: soil metagenome
Description: partial contains 5.8S ribosomal RNA, internal transcribed spacer 2, and large subunit ribosomal RNA
Rfam family: 5.8S ribosomal RNA (bases 1-121)
Source: RNAcentral
GAUGAAGAACGCAGCGAAAUGCGAUAAGUAAUGUGAAUUGCAGAAUUCAGUGAAUCAUCGAAUCUUUGAACGCACCUUGCGCCCCUUGGUUAUUCCAAAGGGCAUGCCUGUUUGAGUAUCAUGAACACCUCAACUCUUGUGGUUUCCCACAGUGAGCUUGGACUGUGGAGGUUUUGUUGGCCCUGUGGUCAGCUCCUCUCAAAUGGAUCAGCUUACCGGUGUUUGGUGGCAUUACGGGUGUGAUAACUAUCUACGCUCGUGGUCGUCUCCAAAUAACCUCCAGUGAUGGAGGUUCGCUGGAGCUUAUAAAUGUCUCUCCCCAGUGAAGACAGCCUUUGAACGUUCGAUCUCAAAUCAGGUAGGACUACCCGCUGAACUUAAGCAUAUCAAUAAGCGGAGGA